GUCGAGAAUCUUUCACAAUGGGGGCAACCCUGAUGGAGCGACGCCGCGUGGAGGAUAAGGUCUUCGGAUUGUAAACUCCUGUCAUGCGUGAACAAGGUUGCUUGGUUAAUACCUGGGCAAAUUGAUGGUAACGCAAGAGGAAGAGACGGCUAACUCUGUGCCAGCAGCCGCGGUAAUACAGAGGUCUCAAGCGUUGUUCGGAAUCACUGGGCGUAAAGGGUGCGUAGGUGGCGUGGUAAGUCAGAUGUGAAAGCCCGGGGCUCAACCUCGGAACUGCAUCCGAUACUGCCAUGCUAGAGUACUGGAGAGGUGACUAGAAUUCUCGGUGUAGCAGUGAAAUGCGUAGAUAUCGAGAGGAAUACCAAAGGCGUUGGCAGGUCACUGGACAGUUACUGACACUGAGGCACGAAGGCCAGGGGAGCGAACGGGAUUAGAAACCCUAGUAGUCC
This 449-nucleotide ribosomal RNA is filed under the name uncultured bacterium. RNAcentral describes it as "partial 16S ribosomal RNA". It matches the Rfam family "Bacterial small subunit ribosomal RNA", at positions 354 to 796 of the family's 1533-position model. The record is from RNAcentral.